Molecule: long non-coding RNA, 358 nt
Organism: Notothenia coriiceps (black rockcod)
Lineage: Eukaryota; Metazoa; Chordata; Actinopteri; Perciformes; Nototheniidae
Exons: 3
Source: RefSeq, a predicted model, not a curated record
CAAGCUGUGAAAAAAGCAAAUGAAGGCCUCCUCACUCUCAGCCAGGAGGAAACCAUGCCCAUCUCCAUACGGCAGCUGGCCUACGUGUCCGGCCUGGGCUUCGGCUUCAUGAGCGGAGCGUUCUCCGUGGUGAACAUCCUGGCAGACUCUGUGGGGCCGGGGACCAUCGGGAUCCACGGGGACUCUCAGCACUACUUCCUGUCCUCAGGUACCAAAGCUCACAAACAGCUUUAGCUGUUGGAUCGUUCCAGAUGGAAUCGCUACAAUGUGUACUUUGAUUUUUAAAUCCAUUUCUGUUAGCCUUUUACAGUCAAUAUCUUACAUUAAGAUGAUGUUCUAGCUCAGGGGUUCCCAAACU